GACGUAGGGCGCGAGCGUUGUCCGGAUUUAUUGGGCGUAAAGAGCUCGUAGGCGGCUUGUCGCGUCGAAUGUGAAAUCUCAGGGCUCAACUCUGACAUUGCAUUCGAUACGGGCAGGCUAGAGUUCGGUAGGGGAGACUGGAAUUCCUGGUGUAGCGGUGAAAUGCGCAGAUAUCAGGAGGCACACCGAUGGCGAAGGCAGGUCUCUGGGCCGAUACUGACGCUGAGGAGCGAAAGCGUGGGGAGCGAACAGG
Molecule: ribosomal RNA, 253 nt
Filed under: uncultured bacterium
Lineage: Bacteria
Description: partial 16S ribosomal RNA
Rfam family: Bacterial small subunit ribosomal RNA
Source: RNAcentral